Molecule: long non-coding RNA, 2644 nt
Filed under: Salmo salar (Atlantic salmon)
Lineage: Eukaryota; Metazoa; Chordata; Actinopteri; Salmoniformes; Salmonidae
Description: lncRNA (ENSSSAG00000110540.1, ENSSSAG00000118537.1)
Source: RNAcentral
GAAGAUAACUGUAAAUGUGGGGGGUAAAAUGUGAACUUACCAAUUUCAGACUAACAGGCUGGACAAUACCACUGUUACUCAUCUCCAGCAGCACGCCGGACAUCACCAAUACCACUGUUACUCAACUUUUAUUUGGUGUAUAGAAUGUCUAUAUUUACACACAAACAUAGAAACAUUGUGUCUGAUUUUACGACUGAAUUCUUCUCCAUAUUAUAGCAAUAGUAGCAAUGUUAAAACAUCACAUUUCCAAAAGCGUGAAAAGGAAAUAUUUUGUCUUGUCCUUCUGGAUGACCUUACGAUGUAGCACGCAGUUACUGAGGGACGCCUCUGUGUUAAGACUUCUGCGUUCGCGUACUCGUCGGAACUAGGAAACUGUGAAAUGUCCCAACUUGCUAACUGCUUGUAGUUAUACACGUGCUGCGUUCAACCAGUUAGGAAGUCAAGACAUUUCAGCGUUUCCUAGUUCCGACUAGCACGUGAACGCUGCAGGGUGUCCCUGUGAAUAACAUAACAUGGUUCUAGUUCAAGGUGGCCUGCCGGCUGUUAAAGGACAGACGCGUUUAUAGUUACAUCCUCCGGUCUACUUGAUAGUAGUUUGUCCUCCCUCCUGUGUAUAGAACAGUUCUGUCCAGUCCUGUGCUGUGUGGUGGAUCAACAGGAAAGGGUUUAGAUCAGGGUCAGGUUAAAGUGUUGACACGGUGGAACAUGAUGAAUAGCUCGUUUGUUCUUGGGAGUGACUCUGUGUUUAUUUACAGCAACAGCGCGGGCAGUAAUGUGGUAAAACCAGACAAAAUCAGUGAUAGCAGCACUUAGUCUGCACACACACACACACACACGAGGUGAACCGUUAAGCCUUCCUUCACCCCACAGUUAAUUCGGUUGUCUUCCUCUCAGCACUUCCUGAUUCACAUUCAGCCUCAUUACCCAUUCAUCAGAUCCAGUCUCUCCACACAGAGGUUGACCUCUGCCAUUUCACCUCAUAUUAAACCACACGGUACUGGUUUCAGUGAACAUUGAUCUGUCCUUAGUAGGAUCACAAAUGAUACGAAACCAACCAGUCCAUCAUGUUUAAAGCUUUCUGCUCCAGAUUGAGUCUGGAGGUGAGACAGACUGGUCAGACAGUCCAGGUGGGAGACAGACAGGUAGACAGACAGGUAAGGCAGCAGAAUCAUCCCAGAGCCUUUGAUGAGUCUGUAGUAGUGAUCUGAUCAGCGCUACGGAGGGCUUUCUGUGGGCUGGCCGGGGACUAAAACCAACAACGUACUGGUAUGGGUCUAGAACCCAGAGACCGCAGAGAACUGAGUCUGGGACGAGAACCCAGAGUACAUGGGAGAACCCAGAGAACAGAGUCUGGGACGAGAACCCAGAGAACAGAGUCUGGGACGAGAACCCAGAACCAAGAGAACAGAGUCUGGGACUAGAACCCAGAGAGUAGAAAGCAGAGUUAGCAGGCUAGAGUUUAAAGCAUAGACAGACAAUUGGUUCAGUCCACUACAGCUUUCACAGACGAUCAACCUGAAGGGGUUUGUGGGCCAUAAUGUCUUCCAGUGUCCACUGUCUCAAACCAGUGACCCAAAAAAAAACUGGUGUUGAAGUCAACAAGCUCCAAAAUGACCAAAAAUCAUCUAAGUAGCACAUCAAACUAUCCAUUUUAAAUGACACAUCCAUGUUCUGUAGUGUUUUCUUGAAACAUUCGGAUUAUUUAGUCCUAGUUGUUCACAACACACAGCUGAGACAAGACAGUAGUACAGACAUACAGUACCAUCACGUGGUGAAUAAAAGUUACUCUGAACAUAGUCAUCAUCUAUCAACAAAGUUAUUAAAGUGAUUAACUGGGUUGUUUUAGUUCAAUACCUGCCUCUGUAGGAGUGGCACUGUCUUCACAAACUCUGCUGUUCCUUACCACAGGCACUUAACCCCUUGUGCACAAUGAACGUAAAGAUGAUUCCCAAAUGGCACCCUAUUCCCUAUAUAGUGCACUACUUUACACCUGCCAAAUGGCACCCUAUUCCCUAUAUAGUACACUACUUUACACCUGCCAAAUGGCACCCUAUUCCCUAUAUAGUACACUACUUUACACCUGCCAAAUGGCACCCUAUUCCCUAUAUAGUACACUACUUUACACCUGCCAAAUGGCACCCUAUUCCCUAUAUAGUGCACUACUUUACACCAGCCAAAUGGCACCCUAUUCCCUAUAUAGUGCACUACUUUUGACCAGGGCCGAGGGCACUAUACAGGGAAUUGGGUGUAAUUAGGGACGUAACCUCAGAAUAAUCAGAUUGAUGAUUAGGCUUUAAUAAUAAACCCUGUUAUGUAAUAGAACAUGAACACCCAAUCACACAGGAAGUCAACUCAGCUAAAACAUCCUGGAGCCCCAAAAAAUAAACAAAUCAAGGUUUGGUAGCCAUCAGAAAAACUAAACCACUUUAACAAUAAUACCAAUAUUCCCAUCAUCAAACUGAUUAAGAACUGCUGAUAAAUACUAGAUCUACGGUAGAAAUACUACUAGAUCUACGGUAGAAAUACUACUAGAUCUACGGUAGAAAUACUACUAGAUCUACGGUAGAAAUACUACUAGAUCUACGGUAGAAAUACUACUAUAUCUACGGUAGAAAUACUACUAGAUCUACGGUAGAAAUACUAC